UACGGAGGGUGCAAGCAUUGAUCGGAAUUACUGGGCGUAAAGGGCGCGUAGGCGGCGAUGAAAGUCAGAUGUGAAAUUCCGGAGCUCAACCCCGGAGCUGCAUUUGAAACUCCAUGGCUAGAGUACAGUUAGGGAAAACGGAAUUCCACGUGUAGCGGUGAAAUGCGUAGAUAUGUGGAAGAACACCGGUGGUGAAGACGGUUUUCUGGGCUGAAACUGACGCUGAGGCGCGAAAGCUAGGGGAGCAAACAGG
This 253-nucleotide ribosomal RNA is filed under the name uncultured bacterium. RNAcentral's name for it is "partial 16S ribosomal RNA". It matches the Rfam family "Bacterial small subunit ribosomal RNA", at positions 524 to 776 of the family's 1533-position model. The record is from RNAcentral.